CACAGGUCCAGAAGCACUUUCUGUAUCAGUUUCUUAACACAUCAUAAACGUUGGGAUAAAAUACAACCAACAGGACAUAGAAAAUUUAAUCAAAAAGUUAAAGAAACAUUUUUAAGAUGUUUUCUUUAUGUGUGAAAUAAAGAAAACAGUUACAAACUGAAACAGGAAGUGUUUCUGGACCAGUGUUGUUUACAUCUUGCAAAAUGGUCUAUAUGGUUGGUAUUCUGAUAUUUUACACUUUGAAUUGGCUGUUGAUAUUUAGAUGCAAACAAUGAAUGGUACUGUAUCUGUAUUUAACCUACAAUUUACUAAUUAACUAUUGACAGUAUAAAUGUUGACACAUUGCAUUAUGAAUUUGUAAUUUAGAUUCAAACGUUGUAUUAAGAAAGUUGUUAUUAUGUUUUAUGUUCUACAGAGCUGGAAGAACAGUCCUCAGAAACAGCCACCGCUGUAGCUAUCGUGAUGACUGCAGAUUAAGAUGGAGGCCAUUUGUGCUGUGUCUGCCGCAUCCUUUUCGAUGACAGGAAGAAGAAUGCUUCAGAGAAGUGGCGUUCAUGGUCACAGUGUGCCAAUCAUGGUCACACACUGCAUGUCAAGACACAAUGCAAACAGCCUGUAGCGAUGCAUCAGUGAUAGAAAACAUGCUAGUUACACAAAAUGUUUUAUGUUUUAACUUUGAGUUGUUUUUAUUUUGUUCAUGACCCCAUCCCUACAAACACACACACAUAUUUUUUUUUAUUUUUAUGUAUUAGGUGCAAUUUAAUAUUUUUCAUGCAAAUGUAUUGUAAUGAUUACACUUAUAAGAAUAAAACAGAUUUUAAAUUCA
Molecule: non-coding RNA, 826 nt
Organism: Misgurnus anguillicaudatus (oriental weatherfish)
Lineage: Eukaryota; Metazoa; Chordata; Actinopteri; Cypriniformes; Cobitidae
Source: RefSeq, a predicted model, not a curated record